UUGCUUGUUUCCAGGAGUAAGCACUUUAAAACCAGAACAAUUCGAAGAGGGAGAUGACAGUACUGCAGUAGUUAUCGGAUUGGCUGUUGGUGUUGCUGCUCUACUCAUUCUUAUCGUUGUCAUUGGUCUUCUACUGUAUAGGAAAUACAAGUUCAAGAAAUGUUGUGAAAGUACCAAGAAUCUUAAAACGAACACAAGUUCUCAAUCCAUCAAGUUCGUCAAUGAAGGCAGCAAACCAAAAAAGCAACUGGAUCAACUGAAAAAGCUCAUAAGCUGCAGCACGGCCAAGGAAACAGAUGCUAAGAUCAUCUGUAAUGGACAAGGCUCAACCCUCAAUAAACCCCAGAAGAAUGGCGGCACUGGGGUCAAAUAUGCUGAAAGCAAUUCUGGACUCGAAGAAAAAAGUGGCUCAUCCCCCUCAGGCAAAGGAGGA
Long non-coding RNA from Pomacea canaliculata, 433 nucleotides. RefSeq lists it as uncharacterized. The transcript has 5 exons. Lineage: Eukaryota; Metazoa; Mollusca; Gastropoda; Architaenioglossa; Ampullariidae. The record is from RefSeq and is a predicted model, not a curated record.